Molecule: long non-coding RNA, 356 nt
Organism: Hippopotamus amphibius kiboko
Lineage: Eukaryota; Metazoa; Chordata; Mammalia; Artiodactyla; Hippopotamidae
Exons: 3
Source: RefSeq, a predicted model, not a curated record
GGUCGGGUGGGGUCGCCAGGAGAAAGCAGCUUUGCGCCAACGUCGGGGAGGGCACCCGAAGCCGGGACCAGAAGCUCCUUGAGGAUUGGAGACCAAGUGUGGGAGAUAAUUGUUCAGCUAAUAUCCGUGGGCCAAGUCCUGUCCUUAUUAUGGUCCUGGUGCAGCUCUUCUCGUUAUCACCCCCCCUUCACCGUUCGUGAGACUGCACCCAGACAGAGUAAGUCCAGAGGACUCAGCAGAGGAAAUGAUGAAAGAGAGCGAGAAUCCACAGUGAAGACGUCACCCCCACCCCCACCCCACUCAUGGAGCUUGAGGGACUGGACAAGGAACAAAAAAGCCGCUUCUGGAGAAAAGUC